Molecule: ribosomal RNA, 274 nt
Filed under: uncultured bacterium
Lineage: Bacteria
Description: partial 16S ribosomal RNA
Rfam family: Bacterial small subunit ribosomal RNA
Source: RNAcentral
AUACGGAGGGUGCAAGCGUUACUCGGAAUCACUGGGCGUAAAGCGCGCGCAGGCGGCUUGAUAAGUUGGAUGUGAAAGCCUACGGCUCAACCGUAGAACUGCAUCCAAAACUGUCAGGCUAGAGUGUGGGAGAGGAAGAUGGAAUUAGUUGUGUAGGGGUAAAAUCCGUAGAGAUAACUAGGAAUACCAAAAGCGAAGGCAAUCUUCUGGAACACUACUGACGCUGAGGCGCGAAGGCGUGGGGAGCAAACAGUAUUAGAAACCCCAGUAGUCC